GAUGAAGAACGCAGCGAAAUGCGAUACGUAAUGUGAAUUGCAGAAUUCAGUGAAUCAUCGAAUCUUUGAACGCACAUUGCGCCCCCUGGUAUUCCGGGGGGCAUGCCUGUCCGAGCGUCAUUACAACCCUCAAGCUCAGCUUGGUGUUGGGCCCCGCCGCCCCGGCGGGCCCUAAAGUCAGUGGCGGUGCCGUCCGGCUCCGAGCGUAGUAAUUCUUCUCGCUCUGGAGGUCCGGUCGUGUGCUCGCCAGCAACACCCAAUUUUUUUCAGGUUGACCUCGGAUCAGGUAGGGAUACCCGCUGAACUUAAGCAUAUCAAUAAGCGGAGGA
RNAcentral lists this unclassified non-coding RNA (329 nucleotides) under soil metagenome. Its description in RNAcentral is "partial contains 5.8S ribosomal RNA, internal transcribed spacer 2, and large subunit ribosomal RNA". The stretch from base 1 to 120 matches the Rfam family "5.8S ribosomal RNA", at positions 35 to 154 of the family's 154-position model. The record is from RNAcentral.